GCUAGGACUGGGUGGGGCAGAGGAGUGGGCUGCGAUGCUGGGAUUCACUUCUACAGGUGGGGCUUGGAGCUCAUUCAUUCUCUCACAAGACCCACCGAGUCCACUGCCAGGCCCCGAGGUAGAGCAGCAACAAAACACAGUCCCUGCCCUCAGAAAGCUCCAGGUGAAACCUGACUUCCUGUGGACGGCAACAACACCCUGAGGUUGACAUCACGAAGACUAAACAUCCCAACCUCAAACACACUGUCCUUAGUACCCUCCCACCAUCCGCCUCUACUUGGAGCAGAAUUGGCAACCAAGGGACAGCGGAGUGCACAAGGGAUGUUUCCACGCAGUGGAAGACAGUGACCCAUCAGGCAGGUGACGAGGAAAGGGCAGGAUAGAGUGUUGGCCCAUCAAAAACAAAGGAUGAACCAGCUGCUCUGAGCCUGUUUAUGUCCAGACUAUGUUCUGGGCUAUGAUGACUUCUCCUUCCCUCCAAAAUGGGGUUGGAACUGGGGACAUAAUCGUCUAAUAAUCUACCUCCUCUUAUCUGAAUACAAACUCCCUCUAGGAUAUUACAAUAUACCAAAAGGAAAAAAAAAAAAAAAAUCUGCCCACAGUUGCAAACAACACCCUUCCCUUCAGAAGCUAUGAACGAUUUAAAUAAGUAAUCACUCCGGAAAAUAGACAAUCCAUCCCUCCUUCCAUGCACCCCGCCGCGCAGCUGCCCCCUGACAUGCCUUAGCUGUUCGCUGUCACACCGCUAUUGUUCGGGGAAAAUAGUCUCAUCUGGUUAGCGACUGUUGAGACUUGCCUGUGAAGGGAUGAGCCAUUCGCCGCAGUGCCACUACCGAGGGAAUUAGUCGCUAUUACAAUCGUGUUCCAAGCAGGGCGUUGCCAAGGUGCCGACAUCUGGGGAAGCUGCCUGGAGGGCUUUGGCUGCCUAACAAAGACUCGGGGAUGGCAGGAUCUCCGCGGGGUUUCUCAGUCAGGGACAGACAUAAUCUGAAGCCAGAAGUCGCCUAGAGACCAGGCCAAACCUCUGAGUGAGCAAGUAUGCUUGGGUUUUAAAAGAUUUUAAUUCACAAAAACCAGCUGUGGCCCGAUGAGGGCAGGGAAAGUCAAGAACCUUCCAGCCACAGAGAGGAGGAAGAGACACAGGCGAGAAGGAAGGAAAGUGGAAAACAAAAAAACCUCAUUGACCCAUUUUUUGGUGUCUCCAUUGUAUGCAGUUGUUCAUAAACUCAAGACACUUAUCUAAAUAGCAAUUAAUACACAAACCAGCAUGCUCCUGCUUGUAAGUGAAUGCUGUAAAUGCUGUAAAGUCAGCCAGUGUGAAUGGCGGAGUGACGUGUGGACCAUCACAGCACAAGACAUGCCCACGCUUUUUACUUUUUGUCAAGUCUGGAUUGGCCUGACAGAGGGGACCGGAGGCAGGCACACCGCUGUCUGCCAAGGACCUGAAGUCGCUCCCUCCUCUUUCGCUUUGGGAUGGCAUCAGAACUGUGGUCUUUAGCAGCAGGCUGGGUGGCCUUUGUCGCCACCUAAGGUGACAGUACCUUGCCUUCUCUCAACCCAUCCUGGCUCUCUCUGCUCUCCAGAAGGGGAGAAGGGCUGCGGGUCGGGGGGAGGUGGUCAGUGCACUCCCUACACUUGCACUUGACUUGUCCGGAGAUGUGUGGUCUUUACAUGGUUCUUUCACUGUCACACCUUCUAAAAUAAUGUUGAGAAAGUAUGUGCCCAUUUGCACAUUUUUAAAGUUGGCAU
Long non-coding RNA from Chinchilla lanigera (long-tailed chinchilla), 1749 nucleotides. RefSeq lists it as uncharacterized. The record is from RefSeq and is a predicted model, not a curated record. The transcript has 3 exons. Lineage: Eukaryota; Metazoa; Chordata; Mammalia; Rodentia; Chinchillidae.